AAAUUCAUAAUUUUUGGGCACUUAAAAAUAUUUUUAAACAAUUAAAAAGAAAUGAAAAAUCAAUUAAUUCAUGAAAAAUAUUAAUAAUAAUCCAAAAAAUAAUUUUAAUUCAGAAUAUGAAAGAGAAAAAUAUUUGAAUUUUUUUUGUGAAAGUCCCGUAUUUUUUGGAUCAAUAUUGAAUUUAAUAUGAAUUAUUGAAGAAAAUGAAAUAAAAAGAAAAAUCAGAAAUUACAAAAAUACGUGGACCGUCAGAUCUCCCUCAUUAACUGAGGUGGCAGAUCUGAU
RNAcentral lists this long non-coding RNA (285 nucleotides) under Lathyrus oleraceus (garden pea). RNAcentral describes it as "Pisum sativum (pea) long non-coding RNA (PSAT_LNC028477)". The record is from RNAcentral. Lineage: Eukaryota; Viridiplantae; Streptophyta; Magnoliopsida; Fabales; Fabaceae.